UACGACUACAUAUCAGGCAUAUCAAUAAGCGGAGGAAAAGAAACUAACAAGGAUUCCCCUUAGUAACGGCGAGUGAAGCGGGAAGAGCUCAAAUUUGAAAUCUUCAAGGGUUCUACCUUUACGAAUUGUAGUUUAAUAGAAGUGUUUUCUGUUAGUGAGUUGGCUAAAAGUUCUUUGGAAUAGGACAUCAUAGAGGGUGAGAAUCCCGUAUUUGGUCAUUCCUCCUAGCGUUGUGAUACACUUUCAACGAGUCGGAUUGUUUGGGAAUGCAGUCCAAAAUGGGUGGUAAAUUUCAUCUAAAGCUAAAUAUUGGCGAGAGACCGAUAGCGAACAAGUACCGUGAGGGAAAGAUGAAAAGAACUUUGAAAAGAGAGUUAAACAGUACGUGAAAUUGUCAAAAGGGAAGCGUUUGACACCAGUGUUGUUUUCUCGAAAAUCAAUUAAAAAUGGCUUGAUUUUGUGUUGUAUUGACCUUAAAAGCUUUCUUCACUUUUUUCAUGUCAUUUUUAAUGCACUUUUCGUUUAACAAGUCAACAUCAGUUUCUUUUGUUGUAAAAAGGUCAUUGGAAGGUGGCUUUCUUUUCGGAGAAAGUGUUUAUAGCCUUUGACUCCUGCAAUCGGAGAGACUGAGGUCUGCAGCGUAGAUCCUUCUGGAUUAGAUUCACUUGUGCUAAGUUAUAGCUUUUCAUAGACAACUUGUUGACUAUGUUUAGUCUUGUAGCUUACUCGCUUGUGUAAUUUUACCUACGCUUAGGAUGUUGAACGCGCACAGAGUCUC
Molecule: ribosomal RNA, 778 nt
Filed under: uncultured Neocallimastigales
Lineage: Eukaryota; Fungi; Neocallimastigomycota; Neocallimastigomycetes; Neocallimastigales
Description: partial large subunit ribosomal RNA
Rfam family: Eukaryotic large subunit ribosomal RNA
Source: RNAcentral